RNAcentral lists this transfer RNA (76 nucleotides) under Klebsiella pneumoniae. Its description in RNAcentral is "tRNA-Ala". It matches the Rfam family "tRNA". From Rfam's summary of the family: Transfer RNA (tRNA) molecules are approximately 80 nucleotides in length. The record is from RNAcentral. Lineage: Bacteria; Pseudomonadati; Pseudomonadota; Gammaproteobacteria; Enterobacterales; Enterobacteriaceae.
GUGGCUAUAGCUCAGCUGGGAGAGCGCCUGCUUUGCACGCAGGAGGUCUGCGGUUCGAUCCCGCAUAGCUCCACCA